This 346-nucleotide long non-coding RNA is filed under the name Brassica rapa (field mustard). RNAcentral describes it as "long non-coding RNA (BRAP_LNC004367)". The record is from RNAcentral. Lineage: Eukaryota; Viridiplantae; Streptophyta; Magnoliopsida; Brassicales; Brassicaceae.
AAACUUCAGACCCCUCACAGAGACUAUCACCUCAGAACCUUUAGUCACCUCUCCGGGAAGUGCUACACAGAACUUCACAAUCUCAGGAAUAUAACCACGUAGAGGCUUGUGAUAGUCUUCUCAAGAUGGCCCUUUCUGAUUAUCUCUAGAUACCCCCAAGUAUCAUCACUCUCUAGAUCUACGAACCUUUCAGGAACGAUCUCCCGAGAAAAGAGGCUUUCAUACCUCUGUUCUGCCACGAGUUCAGCGUUUGCAUAUUUAUGAGACGUUUCUGCCUUGGAUUCUCUUGCUGAAGCUGAUGCAGUAUGCGUCUUGCUUAGUACAGCUUCUGGAACAGUAGAUUUCC